GGGGAAUAUUGCACAAUGGGCGCAAGCCUGAUGCAGCGACGCCGCGUGAGGGAUGACGGCCUUCGGGUUGUAAACCUCUUUCAGUAGGGAAGAAGCUUUCGGGUGACGGUACCUGCAGAAGAAGCGCCGGCUAACUACGUGCCAGCAGCCGCGGUAAUACGUAGGGCGCAAGCGUUAUCCGGAAUUAUUGGGCGUAAAGAGCUCGUAGGCGGUUUGUCGCGUCUGCUGUGAAAACGCGAGGCUCAACCUCGCGCCUGCAGUGGGUACGGGCAGACUAGAGUGCGGUAGGGGAGAUUGGAAUUCCUGGUGUAGCGGUGGAAUGCGCAGAUAUCAGGAGGAACACCGAUGGCGAAGGCAGAUCUCUGGGCCGUAACUGACGCUGAGGAGCGAAAGCGUGGGGAGCGAAC
This 407-nucleotide ribosomal RNA is filed under the name uncultured bacterium. Its description in RNAcentral is "bacterial SSU rRNA". It matches the Rfam family "Bacterial small subunit ribosomal RNA", at positions 356 to 773 of the family's 1533-position model. The record is from RNAcentral.